UUCUUCGUUUUUUCAUGGUUCAAUAUCGUGUAUUAGUAGCAUCUGUUUAUUUUUAAACAUGUUUUUCGAUAAUUAUUCGAAGAAGGGAAAUUUCAUGGAUUUCGAUGAUUUUUAAGUAUAUUAUACGGAAAAUAAGAUUUUGAAUAAUUUUUCUCUAUGUAUAUAAUCGCCGCUUGUGUUUGGUUUUCAAGAUAUUUGCAAAAGAUGAUUGCUAUUAUUAGUUGAAUUUAAAUUGAAUUUCAUAUAUAUAUAUAUAUAUAUAUAUACAUCCAUGGCAGUGUAUGUGACAUGUCAGUAUACGAUUAUAAUUUAUCUAUUAUUUAUAAGCAUAUCAUGGUGAUUGGUAACCAAAAUGUGUAACGAGUGAGUUGAUAUUAUUGUGCUUAAUUUAUCUUUAGAGAGUUCUUUUAGAUCUGCGGAAUACGCAAAUUGAAAACAACCCUUGGAUGAUUGAAACCAAAGUUACAGAAUAUAUAUAAGUAUAUAUAAGUAUAUAUAUAUAUAAGUUACAUAAUAAUAUAAAUAUUAUACUUAGUAGCUAUUAUAAUUUCAAUCAUUAUAAUUUUUUCUGUCAAAAGUUGUUUUUAAUUUUAUUUUUGUAUUAAGAAUCCACUCAAUCAUGCUCACUAUAUAUUCACUAUAUAUAUAUUGGGAAUGAUUAUUUUAAAUCUAUAAUUCGUUUCUUAGAUUUUAUUUGGAUUACUCAGAUCUGUUUAUUUUGAUUUUGUUUGAAUUUAUUGAAGACUGAUGUGCAUCAAUUGAUACUUGAAUUAGUGAUAAAGUUUGAACGGUGUUUUCUAAUCUUUUUUGAGACAUGAUUCUUUUUCUAUAAUAUUCAAAUAAUUUGUUAUCUUAUUUUUUUUCACAAUCAUGAAAAAUUCAAAAUUCAAUUCAAUUCAUUUUAGGAUUAGAUAAAUAUAAUAUUCUAUUUCAGAGAUAUAUAGAAAGUCUAAAAAAUGAAAUGAAAAAAUGAAAAAGAAGUAUCAAAAAAUUGUUACAGAAUGAAUAUAACAUUGUUUGGAUAGAAUAGAUCAUAAAUUACUCCUUUAUAUGUUUGGCAAGUUUAAUUGUGGAUGAGAUAAAAGAAAGAUCCCUUGACAUUCAAUGAUUAUACAGAGAAACACGAUUUUCUCAUGCAACAACGAAUGAUUUCCCAUCGGAUGAGAUUUCUUUUUGGAUGCUCUGUGUAUCUUUAAUUUUAGCUCACCGUGAGAAAAUUUCUAUGACAUUUGAAUCCAUAUAAUUUUAACUACGUGUAUCAUAUCUAUUUAUCGAUGAAUCCUGAUUCGAUUAAAAUUUUUUAUUUUUUUCUCUUCAUAUUAAAAGCGUAAAUUAUUGAUUUUAAUUUUUAAUUACUCUUAAAUAUUUUCAAAAUGCGAAAUAUUUUAUGACUCGAUGACUAUAAUGACUUUUUAAGAUUCGACAAUUUUUGAAUCACAAUUUUUGAAAUUGUAUCGUAACAAUAAUUUCUUUUCAUUCUACAUGUGCAAUAAAAUAAUUUUAUUAUACAACAAGAAAAAGACGUGUAAAGAUAACAUUCGAUCAAUCAUGUUGCACGAUCAAGAUCCUGUACACAAAAAAUUAUAUAUAAAAUGUAUAACGAUCAAGAUAAUGAAAGUAUUUAUAUACAACAUGUAAUUACGCAUAUUAAUAUCAAAAAUUAUUAAAUGUCAAACGUAAUUGAUUAAUAUAUAAGACACUAAAACGUCACACGAUUUACAUCAUUUCCUAUUCAAUGCUCUACUAAUAAAUAAUUUCAACAUAACGAUUAAUAAUUUUCAUAUUUCUUCUUAUAUAAAUUCUUGACAAACUUUUGCAUCAAAAUCAUUUAUACGAAACCCAUCAAUUUAACGUUUACAUUAUAAUGUAAUUUAAUGGAAUAUCGAGUGACAAUUGUGCCCUAUUGUUAUUCAACGAUUUCGAAUCAUUUAUUUAAUUAAUUACGGUAACAAAUUACUCUUCGAACAAUAAUGCUGUAAUCAGAAACGCAUGAAAUUCUAUUAAAGGACAUAUAAACAGA
Long non-coding RNA from Apis cerana (Asiatic honeybee), 2020 nucleotides. RefSeq lists it as uncharacterized. Lineage: Eukaryota; Metazoa; Arthropoda; Insecta; Hymenoptera; Apidae. The record is from RefSeq and is a predicted model, not a curated record.